AAAUAUCAAUCAAGUCCCUGUCUUGGAAAAUGGAGCGGGUAAAUCAGUUUUUAAGCAUUUCCACUUAAUGGGCUGUUUUCAGUAUUCCCAGUUUCCGUCCUGGCCUCUGUGAUAUAGUGCCUCGUUCUGGGUAAUUUACACAAACCAACAUCUGUGGGCUUUGCUGUUCUUCCAACCGUGCUGAGCGAGGACGGCAGGUUUUGUUUCUCUCUUGGCAGCUCUGGGUUUGGUUACUGUAGUUUUGCAAAGAAGCCCAUUACUUCCCCAUAGCACACGAACACACUCUGGCAAGCAGACACACUGCUGGACUAUACGUUUAUACCCACACACUUAGAAAUGUAGGAGCACGUGCCCUAUGACUCACACCCGCUCCCUAGGGCCAGGAAGUGGCAAGAGGAGGAAAUGACUGGUGGGGCCUUUCGUUCAUCCCUUCGCAGAUGCGCAGAGCACUGAACGACUGGUGCUGAGGAGCGCCCGCCAUGAAGCUCUUUGUCUUUCUGCUGCUUACCUUUGUGAGCCUCAAGGAUGGUGCGGAUGCAGAAGAAGGCACAUUUCCAAACACUGGACAAGGAGCAGAUACCACAGAGUCCACCACAUUAUUCUCCACAGAAGAAGAUGAAGAAACUGUGUCAAACCUCCUGCAGUUGAAGGAUUUAUUAAAAAAUGUUAGAACACCUAAAGCGGAAGUGGAACCAACAGAAGGAAUCACUUCUAGUGUUACAGAAUCCACUAGUGCGACAGAUGUGGCAUCUACUGUUGGAGUGACAACCGCAGUUGGAAUCACCACUAGCAGGUUGAAAAUCACCAGUGUUGCAGGUGUCACCUUUGCUCGAAAUCCAUCUGUUAAACGGAAAGGAACAGCAGAUGUUAUGAAGAUAAAUUACCAUGACAAUGUUUUCAAUUAUGAUUAUGAUUCCCUACGCAAAUGGGGCUUAAUAGCUGCGGCAGUCCUCUUCAUUCUUGGCAUUCUCAUCCUUACCUGUGGCAAACAUGGGAAAUCCCGAUGCCGAGGGAAGAAACGGACAAGGAACUAUGAUGUGACCCAGGCCUGAUGUCACAUCACGCCCUUGUGAGGACAACUGCACUGACUGAGAAGAUGGAAAUGCUUAAGUGCAGCAAUGGCCCAUGGAGCAGUUCUGGCAAAUAGGAGUGUCAUGAGGGGUCCGCUGGACACCUCAGUUUGAUCUCCCCAGGCCACAUGUUGAACCACAGUUCCCUGAUGUACAGUUUGGGGAGAUCAAAGUGAGGACAACACCUGAAGCCUCAGCCCUUCCUCAUCUCCCUAUAGUUCCUAUCCACAGCGUGUUGCUACUUCAAGGAUGGUGCUACCUAUGGAUUGACCAUCUAAUGAACUUUCCUUUUUCUUCUAGAUGGAGGUACCUGUCUAGUUUUCCUCCACAACCUUCCAACCCUUGUUUGACCUCCCAAUAUAUCCUUCACCACUCCCACUCCCACAUCUCUGCCCAUUUUUCUUGUCCUCUCUUUGUUCUCUUUUCAUAUUAUUAAACCAGUCCCUCUGGAGAAUCAGCACAUUUGUGAAUUUAUUCAUUAUUUGUGCUCCCCGAGGUCCGAAGAGAUUCAGGCUGCUAUGCAAACUUAAAGGCAGUGCUGCUGAGGCUCUGUGCCAAGGAAAACCCCUUGUACUUGUUCUGAGCUCAAAUUCUGUACUUGCAAUAAAUUGUUGGCGUGGUUUGAUAUUUUUUCUAAG
RNAcentral lists this long non-coding RNA (1708 nucleotides) under Salvator merianae (Argentine black and white tegu). RNAcentral describes it as "lncRNA (ENSSMRG00000011591.1)". The record is from RNAcentral. Lineage: Eukaryota; Metazoa; Chordata; Lepidosauria; Squamata; Teiidae.